RNAcentral lists this unclassified non-coding RNA (404 nucleotides) under soil metagenome. RNAcentral's name for it is "partial contains 5.8S ribosomal RNA, internal transcribed spacer 2, and large subunit ribosomal RNA". The stretch from base 1 to 122 matches the Rfam family "5.8S ribosomal RNA", at positions 35 to 154 of the family's 154-position model. The record is from RNAcentral.
GAUGAAGAACGUAGGGAAAUGCGAUACUUGGUGAGAAUUGCAGAGUCCCGUGAACCAUCGAGUUUUUGAACGCAAGUUGCGCCCGAAGCCGUUAGGCCGAGGGCACGCCUGCCUGGGUGUCACACAUCGUUGCCCCAAUGCUAAUCGCCUCACUUUGUAGGUAUUUGCUUGGGGUGAAUGUUGGCCUCCCGUGAGCUUUGUCUCACGGUUGGUUGAAAAUCGAGUGCAUGGUGUCGGGUGUACCAUGAUGGAUGGUGGUUGAGUGAUGAUGCUCGAGACCAAUCAUGGGUAACUCCACCAGAAUUGGGCUCGGUGACCCACAUGCGUCCCUUGGAUGCUCCCUAAGGAGACCUCAGGACAGGCGGGGCUACCCGCUGAGUUUAAGCAUAUCAAUAAGCGGAGGA